Molecule: long non-coding RNA, 2416 nt
Organism: Amphiprion ocellaris (clown anemonefish)
Lineage: Eukaryota; Metazoa; Chordata; Actinopteri; Pomacentridae
Source: Ensembl
UACCACUGAAACAUGUUUAAAUAGGUUUUAUUCAAGUCAGGCUGUCGGUAUCCAUUUACUUUGCAUUGCACCCAAAGAUGAAGUAACAAAUGUUAAAGCCAAGCUUUUCAGGGUCCUGGUUUCUGUCAUGGCCAUAAACAUUCCCAAACUACUGCCUCUGCUGCUGCUGCUGAUGCUGCUGCUGAACUGGGGGAUAGACUGGGACUUGUGGAUGACCGGGGAUGACGGGCAAGUCUCUGAUGUAGUGAUUGUUAUGGUAGUGGUCUCUUCCCUGCUCAUAACUGGUGCUGAAGUGACUGACAGUGCCUGGAGGAUACUGGCCAGUCAGGAACUGGUAGUCAUAAUAAGGAUACCAAGGAAAACCAAAGCCUAGGCCACCAGGUGGAAAGUACAGGCCUGACACUGAAGGGGCAGAGCCAUCUGGCAGAGGGAAAGGGCCUGGUAGAGGGAAAGGUACUGGGCCACCUGGAAAACGGGGACUGCCUUGAUCUUCAGUUUCAGAGUCAGAGUUGCCAUGCUCGUAGGUCUUCUCCACAUGAGACAAUUCACCUCCCUGGUAGGCUGGAGGGCCUGGUAUAAACCCACUGCUGGGACCAAAGGAUUCAGCGUCUCCAAGGCCACUGGACGCACCAAGAGAUGAAGAGGUCUCAACAGGAAGAGGCUUGACAGGGUCAACUUCCCAGCUGUAGCCACCAGGGUAUUGUGCAGGUACAGGUGCAGCAGGAUAGUAGGAAGAACUGUAAGCAGCAGCUGCUGGAUAUGAGGCAGACUGGGAUCCAGAAACAGAUACAUAUCCUCCAGAAGGGUGUUGAUAGCCAUAACCAGGAUUUGCACUGUCACUGUAUAUGGCUGAGGGAACUUUGUUCUGGUCUCAUUUGGGCUCCACUACAGCCAUAAACAUUCCCAAACUACUGCAGCUGCUGCUGCUGAUGCUGCUGAACUGGGGGAUAGACUGGGACUUGUGGAUGACCGGGGAUGAUGGGCAAGUCUCUGAUGUAGUGAUUGUCAUGGUAGUGGUCUCUUCCCUGCUCAUAACUGGUGCUGAAGUGACUGACAGUGCCUGGAGGAUACUGGCCAGUCAGGAACUGGUAGUCAUAAUAAGGAUACCAAGGAAAACCAAAGCCUGGGCCACCAGGUGGAAGGUACAGGCCUGACACUGAGGGGGCAGAGCCAUCUGGCAGAGGGAAAGGGCCUGGUAGAGGGAAAGGUACUGGGCCACCUGGAAAACGGGGACUGCCUUGAUCUUCAGUUUCAGAGUCAGAGUUGCCAUGCUCGUAGGUCUUCUCCACAUGAGACAAUUCACCUCCCUGGUAGGUUGGAGGGCCUGGUAUAAACCCACUGCUGGGACCAAAGGAUUCAGCGUCUCCAAGACCACUGGACGCACCAAGAGAUGAAGAGGUCUCAACAGGAAGAGGCUUGACAGGGUCAACUUCCCAGCUGUAGGCUAAGAGCACAAGUUAGAGGUUAAGCAUUGUAUCAAGUCCAUAGAGAUUCAAUUGAAGGCAUUGAAGCACUGAUCCUGAAGGUACCAACUCAUCUACGUGGCUUUGGUUCCUUCAGAGAAGUCUUGAAAAUUUCUCUAGUGCAGGAUCAAUAGAGGUUUAAGCACAUCUUGAAUGGGGCAACACUUCUUCAGGAACAGAGCUUAGAUGUCUACUUAAAGAAUUUAUCCAGACAUGUCCUAGAGUCAAUAUUACAAUUGCUACAGUUCCUAUGGCAAGCUCACUGCUUUACUCAUUAACCAAUGCACAAAAAUAAAAUCCACAUUAGCACUCAUUACCUUGAGGUGCACCAGGUUGUAAACUUGGCUGCACUGACCCUGGAAGGUAGCCACCAGGGUAUUGUGCAGGUGCAGCAGGAUAGUAGGAAGAACUGUAAGCAGCAGCUGCUGGAUAUGAGGCAGGCUGGGAUCCAGAAAUAGAUACAUAUCCUCCAGAAGGGUGUUGAUAGCCAUAACCAGGAUUUGUACUGUCACCACCACCAGAGGAGCUUUGAUCCCCACCUGGAUAGUAAGAAGUCUUUAGCACAACUGAAACUGCUUGACUUUGAACAAACAUUUAAGUAUGGAUAGGUCUAACCUUUCUUUACAGGGUAGCUGUAACUGGUUCCAAUCAGCACAACAAGGAGCAAAGCCCUAUUGACAGAGGAAAAAAAAAAACAACAUAACUACAAGUAACAACAGAAACCAGCCAAAACAUCAAAUUGCCACUUACCCAGAGGGGAGCCCAACAGCCAUCAUGUUGAAUGAGCAGCUUCUACUACUGCCCCUCUCACCCCUUGGAAGGUUUAUGAAUGUUGCAGGUGAGCUGCACUGGCCAAUCAGAACAUAAUGAGUAGACGAUACACAGCUGCUGCUCCUUAAAUCCUGAUGAAGGUGGAUCACCAACCUGAAAAUUAAAUAUGUUGAAGCUGCCCA